RNAcentral lists this ribosomal RNA (419 nucleotides) under uncultured bacterium. RNAcentral's name for it is "bacterial SSU rRNA". It matches the Rfam family "Bacterial small subunit ribosomal RNA", at positions 9 to 414 of the family's 1533-position model. The record is from RNAcentral.
GAGUUUGAUCCUGGCUCAGAUUGAACGCUGGCGGCAGGCCUAACACAUGCAAGUCGAGCGGAAACGAGUUAACUGAACCUUCGGGGAACGUUAACGGCGUCGAGCGGCGGACGGGUGAGUAAUGCCUGGGAAAUUGCCCUGAUGUGGGGGAUAACCAUUGGAAACGAUGGCUAAUACCGCAUAAUAGCUUCGGCUCAAAGAGGGGGACCUUCGGGCCUCUCGCGUCAGGAUAUGCCCAGGUGGGAUUAGCUAGUUGGUGAGGUAAUGGCUCACCAAGGCGACGAUCCCUAGCUGGUCUGAGAGGAUGAUCAGCCACACUGGAACUGAGACACGGUCCAGACUCCUACGGGAGGCAGCAGUGGGGAAUAUUGCACAAUGGGCGCAAGCCUGAUGCAGCCAUGCCGCGUGUAUGAAUAAGG